AUGCCUUUGCCUGUACCUAGUGUUCCUUGGGAGGAUAUAUCUAUGGACUUUGUUUUAGGUUUACCUCGAACAAAGAAGGGGAGGGAUAGCAUAUUUGUUGUCGUGGAUAGAUUCUCGAAAAUGGCACACUUUAUACCAUGUCAUAAAAGCGAUGAUGCUGUUAAUGUUGCUGAUUUGUUCUUUCGUGAAAUUAUUCGCUUGCAUGGUGUGCCAAAUACUAUUGUUUCAGAUCGUGAUACUAAAUUUCUUAGCCACUUUUGGAGAUGUUUAUGGGCUAAGUUGGGGACUAAACUGCUUUUUAGUACUACUUGUCACCCCCAAACUGAUGGACAAACUGAAGUAGACAAUAGAACGUUGUCUACUAUGCUUAGGGCUGUUUUGAAGAAUAAUAAGAAAAUGUGGGAGGAAUGCUUGCCUCAUAUUGAAUUUGCUUAUAAUCGUUCAUUGCAUUCUACUACUAAGAUGUGCCCUUUUGAAGUUGUGUAUGGUUUCCUACCUCGUGCACCUAUUGAUUUGUUGCCUCUUCCAUCUUCGGAGAAGGUUAAUUUUGAUGCUAAACAACGUGCUGAAUUGAUUUUAAAAAUGCAUGAGUUAACUAAGGAAAACAUUGAGCGCAUGAAUGCUAAAUAUAAAGUUGCUGGAGAUAAGGGUAGAAAACAUGUUGUGUUUGCACCUGGAGAUCUUGUUUGGUUACAUUUGCGUAAGGAUAGAUUUCCUGAUUUGCGCAAAUCAAAGUUAAUGCCACGUGCUGAUGGUCCCUUUAAGGUGUUAGAGAAAAUAAAUGAUAAUGCAUAUAAACUUGAGCUGCCUGCAGAUUUUGGGGUUAGUCCCACUUUUAACAUUGCAGAUUUGAAGCCUUAUUUGGGUGAGGAAGAUGAACUUCUGUCGAGGACGACUUCAUUUCAAGAAGGGGAGGAUGAUGAGGACAUCAAUACAAUUGUUACACCCACAGCCCCUGCUGCUAUACAUACUGGACCAAUUACUAGAGCUCGUGCACGCCAACUAAAUUACCAGGUACUUUCAUUUCUUGGUAAUGAUUCUAAUGUUCAUGAGAAUAUGAUGCUGCCUAAAUUGGAUACAUUUGUUUUGCUUACAAAUGAGGGGCCUAGCUUGGAGAAGGAUGAACAUUGGAGCAAGAACAAGCAUGGAGAUGAUGGCAUGCGCAAGGGGAACAAGAACGGAGUUACAAGUGAUGAUUUCAGGACUUUGAAGCCACCAUAA
This 1221-nucleotide ribosomal RNA is filed under the name Triticum aestivum (bread wheat). Its description in RNAcentral is "partial small subunit ribosomal RNA". The record is from RNAcentral. Lineage: Eukaryota; Viridiplantae; Streptophyta; Magnoliopsida; Poales; Poaceae.